GGGGGCGAUCGGCUUCGACGGGUGGUCGAAGGCGGGCGCUGCGUGCCGAGGUCGUCACACUCCUCGUUAAACAGGUGGCAAGUUGGUAGCUGAUAACUGCCGACGAUAACUACGCUCUCGCUGCCUAGCUGAACCCUAGAGCAGUGACGUCCGUCCGCGACGCCUCCUGGCGGGUAGCGGGCGUCAUCAGGAGGCUGGCUUCCGACCGCUGGUAGGCCGAGUCGGGGGCGAGAAAAUCGUCUGCCUGGGCGGGGUUUCUCCCGGUGUUGUGACAGGCCCCGCCGAGAUCGAACAGCACCUACGCACGUAGACGCGUCCACUGGACGCCAUGCGGACGCGGGGUCGAUUCCCGCCGCCUCCACCA
RNAcentral lists this transfer-messenger RNA (364 nucleotides) under Myxococcales bacterium. It matches the Rfam family "transfer-messenger RNA". Rfam says of the family: Bacterial tmRNA, also known as 10Sa RNA or SsrA, is named for its dual tRNA and mRNA-like properties. Its role is to liberate the mRNA from a stalled ribosome. The record is from RNAcentral. Lineage: Bacteria; Pseudomonadati; Myxococcota; Myxococcia; Myxococcales.